This 927-nucleotide long non-coding RNA is filed under the name Vigna radiata. Its description in RNAcentral is "long non-coding RNA (VRAD_LNC010064)". The record is from RNAcentral. Lineage: Eukaryota; Viridiplantae; Streptophyta; Magnoliopsida; Fabales; Fabaceae.
UUAGGGUUUAGGGUUUUUUUAGGGUUUAGGGUUUAAGGUAUUUUUAGGGUUUAAGGUUUUUUAGGUUUUAGGGUUUUUUAAGGUUUAGUGUUUAGCGUUUUUUAGGGUUUAAGGUUUUUUAGGGUUUUUUAGGGUAUAUGGUUUAGGGCUUUUUAGGGUUGAGGGUUUUAGGGUGUUGGGUUUAGGUUUUAGGGUUUUUUAGGGUUUAAGGUUUUUUAUGGUUUAGGGUGUAGGAUUUGUUAGGGUUUAGGGUUUAGGCUUUUUUAGGGUUUAGGGUUUACUGUUUUUGGUUUUUUAGGGUGUAGGGUUUUUUGGGGUUAGGGUUUUGUAUAGUUUAGGGUUUUUAAGUGUUUAGGGUUUAGGGUUUUUUAGGGUUUAGGCAUUAGGGUUUUUUGGGUUUGGGGUUUAGGGUUUUUUAGGGUUUAGGGUUUAGGGUUUAGGAUUUUUAGGGUUUAGGGUUUUUUAGGGUUUAGGGUUUAGGGUUUUUUAAGGUUUAGGGGUUUUUAGGGUUUAGGGUUUUUUAGGUUUUAGGUUUUUUAGGGUUUUUUAGAGUUUAGGGUUUAGGGGUUAGGUUUUAGGGUUUUUAGGGUUUACGGUUUUUUAGGGUUUAGGGUUUAAGGUUUUUGGGGGUUUAGGGUUUAAGAUUUCUUAGGAUUUAGGGUUUUCAAGGUUUAGGGUUUUUAAGGGUUUAUGGUAUUUUAGGGUUUAGGGUUUAGGGUUUUUAAGGAUUUAGGGUUUUUUAUGGUUUAGGGUUUGGCGUUUUUUAGGAUUUAGGGUUUAGGGUUUUUAGGGUAUAAGGUUUAACGUUUUUUAGGGUUUAUGGUUUAUGGUUUAGGGUUUUUAAGGUAUAAGGUUUAGGGUUUUUUAGGGUUUAGGGUUUUUAGGGUUUAUGGUUUAUGGUUUACGUUUUUUUAGGGUUUAGGGUUU